Molecule: ribosomal RNA, 397 nt
Filed under: uncultured bacterium
Lineage: Bacteria
Description: partial 16S ribosomal RNA
Rfam family: Bacterial small subunit ribosomal RNA
Source: RNAcentral
AUACGUAGGUGGCAAGCGUUGUCCGGAAUUAUUGGGCGUAAAGCGCGCGCAGGCGGUCCUUUAAGUCUGAUGUGAAAGCCCACGGCUCAACCGUGGAGGGUCAUUGGAAACUGGGGGACUUGAGUGCAGAAGAGGAAAGUGGAAUUCCAAGUGUAGCGGUGAAAUGGGUAGAGAUUUGGGGGAACACCAGUGGCGAAGGCGACGUUCUGGUCUGUAACUGACGCUGGGGCGCGAAAGCGUGGGGAGCAAACAGGAUUAGAUACCCUGGUAGUCCACGCCGUAAACGAUGAGUGCUAAGUGGUAGGGGGUUUCCGCCCCUUAGUGCUGCAGCUAACGCAUUAAGCACUCCGCCUGGGGAGUACGGUCGCAAGACUGAAACUCAAAGGAAUUGACGGGU